Molecule: long non-coding RNA, 1777 nt
Filed under: Sus scrofa (pig)
Lineage: Eukaryota; Metazoa; Chordata; Mammalia; Artiodactyla; Suidae
Description: lncRNA (ENSSSCG00040024830.1)
Source: RNAcentral
GGCAGCCAGCUCCCCGCAGGUACCCGGGGAAAGGAGAGUGGAGGGCAAGGCAAGCGUCAGGUAGUUAACACCCCCAACAGGCUUUCCAGGGACAGACAGGCAGUAACACGGUGACAGGGGAGAGGUGUGGAUGCUCCAGUCACUUUCCAUCAGCACAGGAUAUCGCUUUCGAUCUUCCUCAUUCCUGUCGUGAUCCUUGUACCAAAAUGUCUUUUCUGCAACUUCAGAGCGUUGUGUAAUUUCUAAUUCAUAUCAGAGGCUGUCUUGAGGUUGGCCGCCCUGAGUUGCGUUUGUAAAGACUCCUUUCCCAGUGAAAGAAUGUGCGUUUUCCCAGCUUUGUCAACGUGGGAUGGAUACAGGUAUCUGGGUCACUUGCUUGCGCCAGUGGCCUAGGUGGGGAGGACAUUAAUAAACCCUGGCCUCAAAUGCAAAUCUUACCCAAGAAAAAUAAGAAUGGCCAUGAGAAUGAAAAAAGAUAGCCGCCUCCUCUCGCUCAUCCGCCGCUCGGUCUACAUCAGGUUCACGGAUCGUCUCCCCAACAGUGUUUUUGUUCUUUCUUCUCGUCCCCAGGUCGGAAGAUAUAAUUUACAGCCUCCAGAAGUCUCGCCGAGCCUGAUUGGAUGGUGUCCAGCUUUGCCGGAAUCAGGGAGGGAGAAGGGCAGCCCUGCCAAUGAGGGGCGAGACCGAUUAAAAGGGCCUCACCGGUGGAAUAUAAUCCCUCCUCUGUACUCACUGGUGACCAGCCACGGUUGUCUUUCAAAGGACACCACGGGUUAGCCCAAGAUGAAGACAAGACGGAGAGGCGGCUGGGCCCCAGGCGGGUGUGACAGCCCACGGGGGGACAGGAUGCAGCCGUGACUGCCUACAUGCAGGACCCAUCAGCCCCGAGAGCCCUGAAACUCCCCAAGGGAGCGGAGUGCCAAAGGCCCCCAAACUGACCAAAGUCACCGGCCCUGGUCCUGCAUCCGGUGGGGACUUCCGGCGUCUUCCUCGCAGCCUCGGACAGCCUGUUGGCUUUGGAUGCACGCCUUGCUUUCCAGUGAGCAUCCCGCCCCUUUGCCGCCCCAACACAGUGUGCAUGAGGCAAGCGUGAGGCUUCUAAGUGAACCUGGGAGUCAGCAACAGGUAGGACCGAAUCGGCCCUUCACUCGGCGUAUGCGUGGCCAUCCAGAGACAACCCCCACCCCAGGACCCCUGCGGGAGGUGCCUGUGGGAGUAGACAGGGUCUGGAGUUGCUCUCAUUUUCCGAAAUGGUUGCUCCAUCCCUGAAGAACGAAAGAAUCCCGGGCAGUGGUCAAAUGGAAACAUAUCUCUUAGCGAGAUGUCUGAAAGGCAGGAACAAGGAGGGGAGGGAUUUCACUUCUCUGAAGGCCUUCCUUCUUCCCUUCCUCGAAGCGCAGAUAUAGGUGGAUGCAUGCAGACUGACUUUUCUCUGCAAUUAAGCACGGCGGUGGCCAGGAAAACGGGAGCGUGGGGGUGGGGGCGGGGCACACCCAGCCUUCGGUCCUCACUGUUGUCCCUUGUUAAACGUGGGGUCUGCGAGAGCCGACUGCUCAGGUAAGGGCAGUGCAGAGAACAGGAUGCCCCAAGCAACCCAUAAAUAGCAGGGCGAAGACAAAGUGUUUAUUACCUGGCCUCGCGAAGCCCGUAUAAAUGCUCUCCCAGGGUGCGAGAGAGGGGAGCAUGUGUGAGCCGGCCCGCCUGCGUCCCGGGAACGGGAGUCCCAGACCCCGCUGUUCGCGCUUGGCUUGAUUCUAUGAAGGCGUCUAUUUGAUGG